UAAUCUGAAUCAUGUUUCAACAUAAUUUAGACACUAUUUUAAUUAUACCUAGCCGCCCUCAGCGUGGAAAAGGGAACAGUUGUGGCUGGCCUCUUCCGUCUCCGCUUUCACUCAUCCUCACUAGAGCUGGUUCUUUCCUGCCGUCUCGGAGAGGAGAGGAGAGGAGAGUGGUUUGAGUGAGGCAGACGGAGGGAUGGAUGGGCGGCGGCAGUUGAGAUUGCCGCCGGCCGAUGAGGUUGAGACGGCGCGGGCAGGAAUAAAUUCGCGUGCCACCGUGCCAGUAGGGGGUCCCUGUUUUGUGUUGUUGGGUUGGCGUUGGCAAGGUCUCGCGGUUGUGUGUUGUCUCGCCGUCGUCAAGGGCCCGGCAAGGGCGGGGCCGGCCGCGGUACCUGAAGCAGAAGCACCUCUUCGAGGAGCACCCGGAGGAGCGCCGGCACCACCCGCGGUAGCAGCACAGGUUCUAGGCCCCGGCGUUCGACGCCGACGGCGGCCCGGGGAAGGGCCACGGGUAGAAGCCGUUGACCGACGUCCAGCCGCUGCUGGACUUGGUGGCGUUGGACCGCCGCUACCGCGCGUUCAAGCCGCUCCAGAAGGAGGAGGCGUACCCGGUCGCGUUGGACCACCACCAGAGGAGGGGCGGCGACCGGGCGCUCCACGAGGUGUGCGUCCCGCACCUCAAGCCCAGGGCGUGGGCGUUGCACCACAAGCUGUAGAAGUGGCCGCUCCCGGUCCUGUACCACAAGUGGCACAUGCCGCUGGUGACCGCGUUCUACGCCGCGUAGUACUGGCACGGGAAGAAGUGGUUGUUCCACCACGUCGUCAUGGCCGGGCCCACCCUCCGGCUCCGCCGGAAGCACCACCUGUUGCAGGCGCGGCUGGGGUCCCGGCGGUGGCUACCGCAGCACGAGGCGGCGGUGGACGUCGAGUACUACAUGUUGUUGUACAUGGCGUAGUACAAGCUGGCCGCCAAGCUCUCGUACCUGCUGGGCGACAAGGAGGCGGAGGCCCGCGAGUUGCCGCUCGCGUCGGCGGAGCGCGUCUCGAAGCUCAUGUUGAUGCCGCUGAAGUAGGGGCAGGAGGCGGGGAAGGAGGCGCCGAUGGAGGCCGAGACGUUCCUCCAGUUCCUCUGGGCGGAGUUCGAGAAGUUCCUAAUGAAGGACCUGCUCUCCUUCUUCGACCACUCGUGGUUCCGGCACCUUCUGUUGCCACCCGAGUUCACGCGGUAACUAGUGUAGGACCUCCGCCUCGUCUUCCCCCUCUAGUUGCUCCUGUUGCAGGAGAUGUAGUAGCUCUUGUAGUUGCAGCGUCGCUAGCUCUGCUGCGACACCAGCUAGCUCACCCCCGACCGCCUCGACCACUUGGUGGGCCUCUAGGUCGUCUUCGACGCCCUGCUCUACCUGCGCCACGACCCGCAGCCCGUGGUCUAGUGCCUCGGGCUGUGCGUGUUCGAGGGGAUGGACGUCCGCCACUAGUUCCUCUGCGACGCCGACGCGUACCGGUAGGGCGACGACCACGGGGUGUACUUGGAGGUGCUGCGGUUCGAGCGGCCGAUGUUGUAGGGGCGGCUCUCGUUCUAGGAGCAGUUGCGGACCAAGGAGCGGUUGUUGGGGCUCGUCACCUUCGCCGGGCUGCUCAAGGCCGGCCUCGCGAAGGACCUCCUCCUCUUCGUGCACCUCCGGUUGCCGUUGCUGAAGUCCAUGGACGGGAAGCCGCAGCCGGCGGCCUCGACGGGGCCGUAGUAGGAGCGCGACGGGUAGGAGCCGUAGUGGUAGCCGGCGGAGCAGGUCUUGAAGCACGAGUGCGGCGGCGGGCCGGUCCUGUUCGAACUGUGCUGACUCUUCCCACCGGUCAAGUCGGAGGUGUAGGAGUUCGUGAGGUGGUAGCAGCGGUUCGGGUCUCACAAGAUUCGUCAGGGCAUGGCCUGCAUGCACGAGACCUCAAACCUGAAGGUCGUAAAACCAAGCCACAACAUGAAAGUACUAACAAGCGAGCAGGAUUCAUAUGAACUAAUAUCAUAGACAGUGUCUCAUCUGCGUGCAAAGCAAUUACAAUAGGCGUUCCUUGUCUCCUCGACUUCUUUACAGCUUGCCCCUCCUUUUCUGACCUGCUAAAGGUAGUCUACAUGAGGACUACGACGGUAUUUAAUUUAGGAGUUUUAUAACUACUAAAAAAGUGUUUGCUUUACUAGGAGGUAAACAAAGAACAUUUAAACACCUGAGUAAAACAUUGCUGGUG
Molecule: ribosomal RNA, 2235 nt
Filed under: Triticum aestivum (bread wheat)
Lineage: Eukaryota; Viridiplantae; Streptophyta; Magnoliopsida; Poales; Poaceae
Description: partial small subunit ribosomal RNA
Source: RNAcentral